This 909-nucleotide ribosomal RNA is filed under the name uncultured bacterium. RNAcentral describes it as "bacterial SSU rRNA". It matches the Rfam family "Bacterial small subunit ribosomal RNA", at positions 8 to 916 of the family's 1533-position model. The record is from RNAcentral.
AGAGUUUGAUCAUGGCUCAGGACGAACGCUAGCGGCGUGCCUAACACAUGCAAGUCGAACGGGAUCCAUGCCAUGAAGUUUUCGGAUGGAUUGGUGUGGUGAGAGUGGCGAACGGGCGAGUAACGCGUGAGCAACCUACCUCGUACUGGGGGAUAACGUCGGGAAACCGGCGCUAAUACCGCAUAAGACUACGAUGUCGCAUGGCGUUGUAGUCAAAGCUCCGGCGGUACGAGACGGGCUCGCGUCCGAUUAGCUAGUUGGUAGGGUAACGGCCUACCAAGGCGACGAUCGGUAGCCGGACUGAGAGGUCGGCCGGCCGCAUUGGGACUGAGACACGGCCCAGACUCCUACGGGAGGCAGCAGUGGGGAAUAUUGCGCAAUGGGGGAAACCCUGACGCAGCGACGCCGCGUGAAGGAAGAAGGCCUUCGGGUUGUAAACUUCUUUGGCAGGGGACGAAGAAAGACGGUACCCUGAGAACAAGCCACGGCUAACUACGUGCCAGCAGCCGCGGUAAUACGUAGGUGGCGAGCGUUGUCCGGAAUUACUGGGCGUAAAGGGCGUGUAGGCGGGGGGACAAGUCAGAUGUGAAAUACCGCAGCUUAACUGCGGGGCUGCAUCUGAAACUGUUCUUCUUGAGUGUCGGAGAGGAAAGUGGAAUUCCCAGUGUAGCGGUGAAAUGCGUAGAGAUUGGGAGGAACACCAGUGGCGAAGGCGGCUUUCUGGACGACAACUGACGCUGAGGCGCGAAAGCGUGGGGGAGCAAACAGGAUUAGAUACCCUGGUAGUCCACGCUGUAAACGAUGGAUACUAGGUGUAGGAGGUAUCGACCCCUUCUGUGCCGGAGUUAACACAAUAAGUAUCCCGCCUGGGGAGUACGGCCGCAAGGUUGAAACUCAAUGAAUUGACGG